GGAGAAAAGCAGGGGAUCGCAAGACCUCGCGCUAUUAGAGUGGCCGAUGUCCGAUUAGCUAGUUGGUGGGGUAAUGGCCCACCAAGGCAACGAUCGGUAGCUGGUCUGAGAGGAUGAUCAGCCACACUGGGACUGAGACACGGCCCAGACUCCUACGGGAGGCAGCAGUGGGGAAUUUUGGACAAUGGGCGCAAGCCUGAUCCAGCCAUGCCGCGUGAGUGAAGAAGGCCUUCGGGUUGUAAAGCUCUUUCGGCCGGAACGAAAUCGUCCGAGCUAAUACCUCGGAUGGAUGACGGUACUGGAAGAAGAAGCACCGGCUAACUACGUGCCAGCAGCCGCGGUAAUACGUAGGGUGCAGGCGUUAAUCGGAAUUACUGGGCGUAAAGCGUGCGCAGGCGGCUUCCUAAGUCAGAUGUGAAAUCCCCGGGCUUAACCUGGGAACUGCGUUUGAAACUACAAAGCUAG
This 465-nucleotide ribosomal RNA is filed under the name Nitrosospira sp. YKU3. Its description in RNAcentral is "bacterial SSU rRNA". It matches the Rfam family "Bacterial small subunit ribosomal RNA", at positions 198 to 644 of the family's 1533-position model. Lineage: Bacteria; Pseudomonadati; Pseudomonadota; Betaproteobacteria; Nitrosomonadales; Nitrosomonadaceae. The record is from RNAcentral.